RNAcentral lists this ribosomal RNA (251 nucleotides) under uncultured prokaryote. RNAcentral's name for it is "partial 16S rRNA". It matches the Rfam family "Bacterial small subunit ribosomal RNA", at positions 525 to 775 of the family's 1533-position model. The record is from RNAcentral.
ACGGAGGGAGCAAGCGUUGUCCGGAAUCACUGGGCGUAAAGGGCUCGUAGGCGGGGAAUUAAGUCUGGGAGUAAAUCUGCCGGCUCAACUGGCAGGUCAUCCCGGAUACUGGUUCUCUUGAGGACAGGAGGGGAAAGGGGAAUUCCUGGUGUAGCGGUGAAAUGCGUAGAUAUCAGGAGGAACACCCGUGGCGAAGGCGCCUUUCUGGCCUGUUCCUGACGCUGAGGAGCGAAAGCCAGGGGAGCGAACGG